This 382-nucleotide small RNA is filed under the name Pan troglodytes (chimpanzee). RNAcentral's name for it is "retained intron". The record is from RNAcentral. Lineage: Eukaryota; Metazoa; Chordata; Mammalia; Primates; Hominidae.
GAGCAGCCCGGCGUGCCCAUUCCAGCGCCCCCGUCCCCGCAGCAUGCCGCGCCCCCGCCUGCUGGCCGCGCUGUGCGGCGCGCUGCUCUGCGCCCCCAGCCUCCUCGUCGCCCUGGUGGGAUUUCUGCAUUUCAGCCAGAGGGACCUGUCUGCAGCUACCAGAUGCUCCCCACCCUGGGGGAGCUCAGCGGCAUGUCUGCACAUGGGCCUUUUCAGCCUUCUUCAUCCUGCAAUUGGAACUGACUAUUUUAUUUUUAUUUUUUCUCCCCCCUGGUGGACAGUGGUGAGGAGGGUGAAGGAAGGUUAAAAGCCACUGCUCUACAGGAUGAAAAACUAAACUUGUCAUUCUUCAGAUCCCUCCCAGUCUGGCCCCAGCCUACCC